This 1565-nucleotide ribosomal RNA is filed under the name Candidatus Omnitrophota bacterium. RNAcentral describes it as "bacterial SSU rRNA". It matches the Rfam family "Bacterial small subunit ribosomal RNA". Lineage: Bacteria; Pseudomonadati; Candidatus Omnitrophota. The record is from RNAcentral.
AUUCACGGAGAGUUUGAUCCUGGCUCAGAACGAACGCUGGCGGCGUGGAUAAGGCAUGCAAGUCGAGCGCGAAAGUUCCCUUCGGGGGAUGAGUAGAGCGGCAAACGGGUGAGUAACACGUGGGCAAUCCACCUUUGGGUGGGGGAUAACUCCGGGAAACCGGUGCUAAUACCGCAUAAUGUUGGAUAAUCGCAUGUUUAUCCAACCAAAGGGGGGGAUCUUCGGACCUCCCGCCUGAUGAGGAGCCCGCGCCUGAUUAGCUAGUUGGCAGGGUAACGGCCUACCAAGGCGAUGAUCAGUAGCCGGUCUGAGAGGAUGGCUGGCCACACUGGGAUUGAGAUACGGCCCAGACUCCUACGGGGGGCAGCAGUCUAGAAGCUUCGGCAAUGGGCGAAAGCCUGACCGAGCGACGCCGCGUGCAGGACGAAGGCCUUCGGGUUGUAAACUGCUUUCGACAGGGAUGAACGGUAAUAGCGCUAAUACCUCUAUUAUUUGACAGUACCUGGAGAAGAAGCCCUGGCUAACUCCGUGCCAGCAGCCGCGGUAAUACGGAGAGGGCAAGCGUUGUUCGGAUUUAUUGGGCGUAAAGCGCGUGUAGGCGGCGCGGUAAGUCGGAUGUUAAAGACCCACGGCUCAACCGGGGGAAUGCGUCCGAUACUGCCGUGCUAGAGUGCGGGAGAGGAAAGUGGAAUUCCAGGUGUAGCGGUGAAAUGCGUAGAUAUCUGGAGGAACACCGGUGGCGAAGGCGGCUUUCUGGCCCGCAACUGACGCUGAGACGCGAAAGCGUGGGGAGCGAACGGGAUUAGAUACCCCGGUAGUCCACGCCGUAAACGUUGGAUACUAGGUGUGGGAGGUUUUCUACCCCUUCUGUGCCGCAGCUAACGCAUUAAGUAUCCCGCCUGGGGAGUACGAUCGCAAGAUUGAAACUCAAAGGAAUUGACGGGGGCCCGCACAAGCGGUGGAGCAUGCGGUUUAAUUCGAUGCAACGCGAAGAACCUUACCAGGGCUUGACAUCACCGCAAGGGACCAUGCCAUUAUAGAAAUAUAGUGGCUUAGGUAGACAGGUGUUGCAUGGCUGUCGUCAGCUCGUGUCGUGAGAUGUUGGGUUAAGUCCCGCAACGAGCGCAACCCCUAUCCCUAGUUGCCAGCGAUUCGGUCGGGAACUCUAGGGAAACUGCCGGUUUCAAGCUGGAGGAAGGUGGGGACGACGUCAAGUCAUCAUGGCCCUUAUGUCCUGGGCUACACGCGUGCUACAAUGGCCGGUACAGAGGGCUGCGAUACCGCAAGGUGGAGCUAAUCCCUUAAAACCGGUCUCAGUUCAGAUUGGGGGCUGCAACCCGCCCCCAUGAAGGUGGAAUCGCUAGUAAUCGCGCAUCAGCUACGGCGCGGUGAAUACGUUCCCGGGCCUUGUACACACCGCCCGUCACAUGACCCGAGUUGGCUGCUCCCGAAGUCGCUGACCCAACCCGCAAGGGAGGGAGGCGCCGAAGGAGUGGCUGGUAAGGGGGAUGAAGUCGUAACAAGGUAGCCGUAUCGGAAGGUGCGGCUGGAUCACCUCCUUUCUA